This 373-nucleotide ribosomal RNA is filed under the name uncultured bacterium. RNAcentral describes it as "bacterial SSU rRNA". It matches the Rfam family "Bacterial small subunit ribosomal RNA", at positions 524 to 898 of the family's 1533-position model. The record is from RNAcentral.
GACGUAGGGGGCAAGCGUUGUCCGGAAUCACUGGGCGUAAAGCGCGUGUAGGCGGUUUGGUCAGUCCCGUGUGAAAGCCUCCGGCUCAACUGGAGGAUGCCGCGGGAUACUGCCGGACUCGAGGACAGGAGAGGGAAGUGGAAUUCCCGGUGUAGCGGUGAAAUGCGUAGAUAUCGGGAGGAACGCCAGUGGCGAAGGCGGCUUCCUGGCCUGUUCCUGACGCUGAGACGCGAAAGCUGGGGGAGCGAACGGGAUUAGAUCCCCCGGUAGUCCCAGCCGUAAACGAUGGUCACUAGGUGUUGGGGGGUACCCCCUCAGUGCCGAAGCUAACGCAUUAAGUGACCCGCCUGGGGAGUACGGCCGCAAGGUUGAA